AGUGAUCUGCCCGCCUUAGCCUCCCAAAGUGCUGGGAUUAUAGCAAUGUGCCACUGUGCCUGGCCAGUGAAAUCUUAUUGGAUGAAGUUAACAGAUAAACUUGAUCUGUCUUGGCUUUAUGCUUAAAGACUUCCUGUAGCCUAUUCUCACAUAUCCCAUAUCAAUUGUUUAACAGUUAUAUUCUUGAGACCUAUAGUGUAAUUUUUUAAAAUGAUCUCAUUUAUACAUUAGCUGUAAUCUCUGUCAUUUGACCAAAGAAUAACUUUAUCUCUGGCUAUUUUUUAUUCAGAAGUAUGGAUCAAAUUGUGCUAGCACAUCCUUCCUUAGCUUCUAAGUAGAAAGCAAAUAUGCAGAGUGAGGGUUUAUUUGGUGCAAACACUAAUGCAAGAGAUUGAAAGAUGAGUAGGGCAAGAAGAGCUGGUGAUUUUGUUUUCAGUCCAAAUUUAUUGCAUAUUUUGCUAGGUAUUGUGAAAGAUGAAUGAUGAUCACUGAGACAUUAAUAUAUCCUCUAAGAAUAUAUAAGCAGAAUAAUUUUUGUUAUUCCUUGCAGGGUCACACUUAUUUAUCCAGAGUAUAAAAGGAAAAUAUUUUGGGUUCCCCAAAUCACUAAGCUAAAGGGAAAAGUCAAGCCGGGAACUCCUUAUGGCAAACCUGCCUCUCACUCUAUUCAAAGUCAUCGGUCUGCUGAGGU
Molecule: long non-coding RNA, 691 nt
Organism: Sapajus apella (tufted capuchin)
Lineage: Eukaryota; Metazoa; Chordata; Mammalia; Primates; Cebidae
Exons: 3
Source: RefSeq, a predicted model, not a curated record